UACGUAGGGGGCAAGCGUUGUUCGGAUUCACUGGGCGUAAAGGGUGCGUAGGUGGCCAGGUAAGUUCGGUGUGAAAGCUCGGAGCUUAACUCCGAAAUGGCAUUGAAUACUAUCUGGCUAGAGGGUCGGAGGGGAGACUGGAAUUCUCGGUGUAGCAGUGAAAUGCGUAGAUAUCGAGAGGAACACCAGUGGCGAAGGCGAGUCUCUGGACGACACCUGACACUGAGGCACGAAAGCCAGGGGAGCAAACAGG
Molecule: ribosomal RNA, 253 nt
Filed under: uncultured bacterium
Lineage: Bacteria
Description: partial 16S ribosomal RNA
Rfam family: Bacterial small subunit ribosomal RNA
Source: RNAcentral